RNAcentral lists this unclassified non-coding RNA (250 nucleotides) under plant metagenome. Its description in RNAcentral is "partial contains small subunit ribosomal RNA, internal transcribed spacer 1, and 5.8S ribosomal RNA". The record is from RNAcentral.
GUAGGUGAACCUGCGGAAGGAUCAUUACAAAAUCAGGUUUGGGUUUAGGAGGUUAGUGGUAGGUUAGGUGGGUGAUGGGUGAGGAGUUCUCCUUGCUUUACUCUACUCUACUCUACUUACUAUCCACCCCCCUCAUCAUUUGCGCUUGUAUUGUUUGACAGAGUAAUCUUCUAUGCAUAAAUUGACAACUUUUAACAAUGGAUCUCUGGGCUCUUGCAUCGAUGAAGAACGCAGCAUCUGACUGACUAAG